Camelus dromedarius (Arabian camel) is the source of this 2083-nucleotide long non-coding RNA. RefSeq lists it as uncharacterized. The record is from RefSeq and is a predicted model, not a curated record. The transcript is spliced from 3 exons. Lineage: Eukaryota; Metazoa; Chordata; Mammalia; Artiodactyla; Camelidae.
UCUUGUGGCAUUUAUGUGCCAUUAACAUGACUUCUCAAGUUUAUGUGAGUUUUACAGGCCAUGCAUGUUGUCUGUUUAAGCGUGGGUUGGGGUCAAGUUUUCUGUUUAAAAAUACGAUCAUUAGUGAGUCUCAUGCUGCUGGGUUUUUGGGUUGUCAGGUCCUGUUGACCGUUGCUUCAGUUAUUGGGAUCAUUGUCUGCAGACUUUCAGUGUUCAUUGUAUUUUCUGCAAAACUUUCCAAGAACCUGAAUGGAAGAGACCCAAUCCAGAAUUACCUGACUGCAGGUGGGCCACGCCCAUCACUGCUUCUCUCAUCAGCGUUAUCAUCAUCGUGACACUGAACGCCAUAUAAGAGAAAGUGGCAAUCAUGAUGACUGACUCUGCUGCAGAGCUCCCAAGGACCAGACUGACUAUGAGAACAAUCUAGCCAUGAAGUUGUUCUUGUUCCAGUUUGUCAACUACUACUCCUCGUGUUUCUACAUCACAUUCUUUAAGGGCAGAUUUGUGACUUAUCCUGGAGAUCUGGUGUAUUGGCUGUGAAAAUACAGAAAUGAAGACGUGUGAAUACAGCUUUGUGUUCUGACAGUCUAACCUGUUUCAGGUUUUCUCUUAGUUGCCCAAUGAAGAGUGUCUUUACUCUCUGUUCCUUAGACAUUUUUAGGCAUAUAAUAAUGACUUUAUUUCAUUUUAGAGCUACCUAAAAUUUAAAUGAGAUUUUCUUUCUAAUAUUCCAGUGUGACCCAGGUGGCUGUCUCCUUGAACUCAUGACACAGCUGACAAUAAUCAUGGGAGGACAGUCCAUCUGGAAUAACAUACAAGAGGUUUUACUUCCGUGCUUCUCAUGUGCAAAUUGAUAUCCCUGCACAAGAACCAUAUCCCAACAGAAAACCCAAAAGACCGAGGACAAUGAUGGGUAGACGACCGCCCAAGUUUUCUGCCACAGAAGCGUGGUUCCACUCAGGAAGACUGGGCAAGCGGCUCAGAGCCUUAGCUAAGGACAAGCCAGUCGGGACUUCUAAUACGACCCAAUGCCAUCGACGGGGGAGGGCAGGUCAGCACAAGAAGGGAGCGCCAGUUGCGUUAACAUGGAAGUUUCAUCCUGGAUCCAAACUGUGUUGGAUUUGGGUCCCGGAGGGUAAAAGCCCUGCUUCCCUGGGGCAUGGACCGGAUUCCACAGGAGGCUGAGACACGAAGUAUGAGGCAGAGAAAAAUUCCCCCAGGAGACUCCCGAGUCUGGGUACCAGGGAGGGUGAUGGACGAGCGCGGUCCCAGCGCCACCCGCACCACAGGGCUCCGAGGGGCUGUGGAGCUGCGCGCUCCCGGCUGGACCUCAGACCUGACUGCAGCGCUCCGGGCUGCGGCCUUGGGAGCGGCUUCAGCAGCAGGCUGUCCCCGUCAAUCUCGUAGGUGCUGCAGUGACCCCCACCCCUGUGGCCACGGCGUUCCCAAGCCAAGGGUCUUAGUGACUUCAACCCUAUUUCCAGGUGACCACAGCUGGUUAGCCUGUGCUGUUCAAAAGGAAGAUCCCACAUGGGGUUUUGAUGUGUUAGGGGGGUUUCUGAUACCUGGCCUGCUUUGAAUCGUUUCAUCCUGACAGCAGCCUGGGCAGUGGAAGUUUCAUCUCCCAAUUUUAUUUCAACGUCUUUUGUUGAAAGUAUAGUUGGUUUACAAUAUUGUGUUAAUUCUUGGUGUACAGCAUAGUGAUUCAGUUAUACAUACAUAUAUAUAUAUAUUCCUUGUCAUAUUCUUUUUCACUAUAGGCUAUUAAAAGUUACUGAAUGUAGUUCCCUGUGCUAUACAGUAGGAUCUUGUUGUUUGAUGCAAAAAUUACUAAACAAAGUAUUUGCAGACUAAACCUAGCCAUGUGUAUGACAGAGUUGUGUUUAUCUCAGGAUUUAAAUGUGGUUUUGAUCUCCAGGAUCUCUUUAUCAACUUAUCAUAAGUAAAGAACCUGUGGACCACUUUUCAGACAAAUGUUUUAAAAUCAUAAGAUUUAGAGAAUAAAGAAAGAAGAUAAUUAUACUGAAAAGCCGAUAUCAACAUAUAGAAAUGGGCAUUUGUGAUACAGUAAUAUCUGAAUUAU